UUGGUAGGUUGAAAAUGAUUUAGUGACUUGGUAGGUUGAAAAUAAUUAAGUGUAGGGACUUUAAGGGUGACGCGGUAGGUUGAAAGUGGUUAAGAGUAGGAAGUUUGAAGGGGAUUUUGUGUUUUGAAUGUGACUUGUUUGACGACUUAGUAACUUGAAAAUGGUUAAGUGUAGGGACUUUGAAGGGGAUUUUUUUUGUUUUGAAUGUGGUUUGUUAGGUCACUUACUUGCUCGAAAAUGGUUAAGUCUAGGGACUUUGAAGGGUAUUUUUUUGUUUUGAAUUUGUUUUUGUUUUGAUACU
This 301-nucleotide long non-coding RNA is filed under the name Capsicum annuum. Its description in RNAcentral is "long non-coding RNA (CANN_LNC000621)". The record is from RNAcentral. Lineage: Eukaryota; Viridiplantae; Streptophyta; Magnoliopsida; Solanales; Solanaceae.